RNAcentral lists this ribosomal RNA (390 nucleotides) under Triticum aestivum (bread wheat). RNAcentral describes it as "partial small subunit ribosomal RNA". The record is from RNAcentral. Lineage: Eukaryota; Viridiplantae; Streptophyta; Magnoliopsida; Poales; Poaceae.
AUGAUCGUGUCGUCACACCUUCUUGUCGUUAUGUUUUACCUAUCAUGCAUUGACAUAUUUGCCAAACUUUGCCAAAAAAGGAUGACCAAUCUCUCUUCAAUGUAUUCGGCUAUUAACCAAAUACUAAUAUGUCAUAAGAUGGAGGUGGUCAUUCGUCCGUGGCCAAAAGUCGGAGUCGCUGUUUCGAGGGCAAUGGGUGAUAAGAUGAUGCUUGUACUUAGCCUCAUCGAUUGCUCCCUUCUUGGCGGUGUGUGGAGUCUACUAUCAAUAGCUAGACCGAGGGUGCCUUGUGUGCUAUCAUGUUCCAUGACAAACAUGUAUUGUGAACUUGUCUAUAUAGGGUUUCGCCCGAUUAUCCAUAGAUUAAAUUGGCAAUUCUCUUUGUCUUAA